This 612-nucleotide ribosomal RNA is filed under the name uncultured bacterium. RNAcentral's name for it is "bacterial SSU rRNA". It matches the Rfam family "Bacterial small subunit ribosomal RNA", at positions 338 to 951 of the family's 1533-position model. The record is from RNAcentral.
CCUACGGGAGGCAGCAGUAAGGAAUAUUGGUCAAUGGACGCAAGUCUGAACCAGCCAUGCCGCGUGCAGGAUGACGGCCCUCUGGGUUGUAAACUGCUUUUAUACGGGAAGAAACCUCUGGUUGCGAUCAGAGCUGACGGUACCGUAAGAAUAAGGACCGGCUAACUUCGUGCCAGCAGCCGCGGUAAUACGAAGGGUCCAAGCGUUAUCCGGAUUUAUUGGGUUUAAAGGGUGCGUAGGCGGCUUAUUAAGUCAGUGGUGAAAGACUUCAGCUUAACUGAAGAACUGCCAUUGAUAUUGAUGAGCUUGAAUAUACUUGAGGUGGGCGGAAUGUGUCAUGUAGCGGUGAAAUGCUUAGAUAUGACACAGAACACCGAUUGCGAAGGCAGCUCGCUAAAGUAUGAUUGACGCUGAUGCACGAAAGCGUGGGGAGCAAACAGGAUUAGAUACCCUGGUAGUCCACGCCCUAAACGUUGAUAACUCGAUGUGUGCGAUAUACAGUACGCGUCCAAGCGAAAGCAUUAAGUUAUCCACCUGGGAAGUACGGUCGCAAGAUUGAAACUUAANAAGAAUUAGAGGNGNGAGAGNGCGAGGACGACACGAGGGAGGAGG